This 337-nucleotide long non-coding RNA is filed under the name Physcomitrium patens. RNAcentral's name for it is "long non-coding RNA (PPAT_LNC013626)". The record is from RNAcentral. Lineage: Eukaryota; Viridiplantae; Streptophyta; Bryopsida; Funariales; Funariaceae.
UAAGCGUUCACGUUAGGGUCACACAAUCAAUUACCUCCUGAAUGUAUUGUCUCUAUUUGUAAUAUCUGAACACACAAGAAAACUAUAAUCUCUUCCUUCAUCUUAUCAGUCUCUUCCUUACAACAAUUCAGUCAUACCAAUAACUGCUAUUUCCACCAAUAUAUUAACCCUCAUAAUCUCCAAUUAUAAUACUACACCCUUACAACUUUCAGCACACAAUUACCCUCGUUCCAAUCACUGGAAUUCUUCACACAUAACUGCCAUUCACAUUACAAUGUUUCACACAAACAUAGACUCAUUCUCUCUGCUGAACUACAAUCAGAUUUCAGCAUUUAAA